Aedes albopictus (Asian tiger mosquito) is the source of this 72-nucleotide non-coding RNA. The record is from Rfam. NCBI's taxonomy places the organism in Eukaryota, Metazoa, Arthropoda, Insecta, Diptera, Culicidae.
GGCUCGGUAGCUAAGUCGGUAAAGCAUUUGUGCAGCAUAUAAGAGUCGUGAGUUAAAAUUUCACUUGAGCUG